CCCAUCUCCCUUUCACUCGCCCCUCUCUUUGACAGAACAGGAUCCCCUCACUCUCUCAUUUCCAUCGCCAGGUCUCUCCUCCAUUCGGCCCCAGCAGCGGCUGAACAGCAGCAGUGCCGUCCCUCUCCAUCCCAGUUGUUCCCUUCCAUCGGCCUCCCUCCCCGGCCAUCUCACAGGUCUCCAUCAACCAGCCUCCAACGACAGCCGGACAACAGCAGCAAGGCCAACCAUUGCUGCCACCAACAGGAGUGAAGAGCAUCCAGCAGCAUCCACGACCCCUCACUUCCCUCUCCUCUCUCGACCGACCCAGCCUUCUCUCCUGCAGCCGACCUCCAGCAGCGGCAGCUUCUGCCCACAGCCGACAGACCAGCUCUCUCCCUCCAUCAACCGACCACAAGCAGCAUCACAGGACAGCCUCAUCUCCAUCGACCAGAGGACGGGCAGGGUCGUUCCCCAUCUCCUCAGACCCACGGCUCCCGCUUCAGCCAGCAGGUCUUUCCUUCCUCAGCCGCCGAACAGCCUCCAGCGGCAGCAGCAACCCACAGGCCAGCAGACCCAGCUCACCGCCUCCAGCAGCGACACCACUCCCUCGGUUGUUCCUCCUUGCCGCGCAGCACAUGGAGCAGAGGAGAAGAAGAAGAUGACCGAAGGAGACCGAUCUGCAGUGAAGCAGAUCCAAAAAAACCGAAUGAACCAGAUCUGAGAAGGAGAAGAGAGAACUAAAAUCGACUGCUUUGUUGCGUUUUGGUUGUUCUUGCAGGUCACCGCCGGUUUAGGAAGACAGAGGGGAAGAAGACAUUCCAGAUCCCCUGUAUUUUGGAGUUUCCGGCGGCGGCGCGUGAACCCACGCGCCGCCACUGUUCCUGCGGCACUGUUCCGGCUUGCAGAAGUCCUUCCCUGCAAUUUCUGGAGUUUUAGGGACCAUUUUUGUAAUUUUUAAAUUAUGUAAUGUAAUUUUUGUUUAGUGUUGAAUUUUUUUAUUUUGUAAUGUGGAUGUAACAAAAAAAGAAAGAAAAAGAAAAGAAAAGAAAAAAUAUAGUGAAAGUGUAUGUGUGUUUGUAUUUUUUUUUUUAUGAAUGUUUUUUUUUUUAUAAAAUUGCGAGAAUAAAGAAGAAUUUAAGAUUUUGAUUUGCUCACGGAUAAAGAAUUAUGAACUUACAUGUAAGUCGUAUUUCUAAAAUUCGAUGAAAGAACAGAAUUCUUAAAACUUCUUUAACACAUCAAGUCCACGAAGCAGCUUACCUCAGGUAGGGUGCGUUAGGGGUGCUAAUACCUUCCCUAACCACAACCAGUCCCUUACCCGCGAAUCUCUGAUAAGACCAGUACCCGGGUUUCCUAGUAGCCUUCAAUAAAUUACUAGGUGGCGACUCCAACGAACCAAUCAAAGCAAAACGAACAAACGAAAAAUCGCCAGCCGACGCCGCGCGGAUUUUUUGACGUGCGACAGAAUAGCGACUCCACUGGGGAAAGGUAUUGUUUUCAACUUUAUUGGACUAAGCUUUGUGUUUUUUAUGUGUUUAAAUUUUUUGCUUUUUGUCUUAUUUUUUCUAUUCAUGCAUUGUGUAGAAUUGUCUCAUGCAUCACACGUUUUUAUUUUUGAAAGCACACACAAGCUUCAGGUUAGGUGGGGGACUAGCAGCUUGCCUUAUGACUUGAGUCAAGGUUUAAGUUUGUGUAAACCCCAACUCUUUGCUGAGUGUUUAGACUGAUAGUGAUUGGUACAUGUGUCAUCCCACUGUCUGCUGAACCCCCAUAUUGCCUUUACAAGGGCGAUCACUGGGACAGCGAGAGACCCUUUUUAGAGACCAAGUAGUAAACCUACCUCUUGUCUCACUUAAAAAGAUUAGAACCUGCCUUUAGGAUGUGUGCUCCGUAUACAUUGUUUUGCAUCAGGGCAAACCCUUCUUGAAGCAUCUUGAACUCAAGACUUUUGGGUGACCCAAUGGCCGUCACUCAGAAAAUUUUCAUUGUAGAGUUUGGGCAAGAAUCAAGAUUCUUGUUUCAUCAUACAAGAGUUACGACCAUAUGUCACCCCUCGAAGGGCGAGUUCAUCAUAUAGUUUACAUGUUCAUACAUUUAUCAUGCAUGUACCGAAAGGAAAAAUAGGUUCCCCCUUCCGAGGUUUACUCCACUGGACGGAAAAAGAUGGAUGAUAAAGAAAGGGGUUAGAGAGAGGCUCAUUGUCAAAAUGAAGUUAAGAGCAUCAAAAGGUGAAGUAGCUAGACUCAGAUCUCCCUGAACAAGUGUUGAGCAUCAAAUGGAAAGAGAAUGUCUGCACAGUCUUCUGUGGAAACACUGCUUGUCCACGUCCAAGUGAAGUUGCACCUCUCCUUUUAAGUCCUGAACAACAACAGCAAUGCCUUCAGUCAUCAACUAAUGACAACUUUGGUUCUUGUUCCGUUGCACUGCUAAUUGUUCAUCGCCUUCACAUCUUCCAAUGGCAUUAAAUAAUUGUUAGCCUUCUGUGCAUGGUGCAAUAGCCUUAUCUGAAGUUACCUCCACUGUGAGCUCAAUUCCAGUUCAACAUGAUUAGACACUGAACUUCUACGUGGCAGAGCUCUCUCUGUAGAGAUUUGUUUGGGGAUCUGCUAGUGGGAAAUGUAAAAGGGAAUGUAGUAUUUUCAUAUGCUACAAAACUUUGCCCCAUCAAUUUCAGAACCGAAACACUGGAGUAGGCAGAAGGAUCAAACCUGGUCUGAAAACAUGAGCCGUCAUUGAACUUCAACGCGGCAGAGCUCUCUCUACAAAAAUCCGUUUGUGGCUCUGCAAGUGGGGAAUGCAAGAGGAGAUGCAGUACUUUCAUACGCUACAAAACUUUGGCUCAUCAGUUUCAGCACUGAAACACUGGAGUAGGCAAAAGAGUCAGACCUAGUCUGAAAACAUGAGCAGUCGUCGAACUUUGACGUGGCAGAGCUCUCUCUACAAAAACCCGUUUAUGGCUCUGCAAGUGGGGAAUUCAAGAGGGGAUGUAGUAGUUCCAGACAAUGUGAAAAGUUACCCCACCAGUUUCAGCAUCGAAACACUGUAGUAGGCAGAAAAACCAGACUUGAGCUAGAAAACAGGAGCAAAUAUAGAACUUCACCGUGGCAGAGCUCUCUCUGCAGAAAUCUGUUUGUAGAUCUGCAAGUGGAGAAUCCAAGAAGGGAUGCAGUAGUUUCUGAUCAUCUAUAAUUUUCUCUCAUCGGUGUUAGCUUGAAAAUGCAAAAGAAGGGAAAAGAGACAGACCUCGGCUGAAAAAUAGAAAGAAGAUUGAAACUUCAACAGAGUAGAGCUCCCUCUACAGGUGUCUGUUUGUUGCACCGUCAGUGAGGAAUCAAAGAGGAGACAAAGGAGUUUUAGAUUCAUCAGGUUCUCUUCCAGUUUUGACAAUGUGUGAUUCCACACGUCGGUAAUGGCGAUGCCACAUGUUUCUGGGCACUGCCAAGAUUACCAAGCUAUUGAAAGGUUUCCGACAACCCUCAACCAACCACAACAACAUUAAAAUAUUGACAUGAAGUUGUGUGGAUUGCCAAAAGAAUUGAGCUAGCUAUCAAGAGAGGAAAGAUUGAAGGAUCUACCAUGGAUUCCAUAACAGUGAUGAGAGUUGAAUCAGAAGAUGACUCUCAAUUGAGAAACCUCGGUCAUUUUGCCUAGUCAGGUCUUGCCAUAACAUCAACUGCUCAAAUGUCUUUGCCAAGAUUGACAUUCAUCUGCCACUCAAGUUUGUCGACCAACAUCUGUUAGAUUCCAGACUUGUUGCACCCACUUCGAUAAAAUUACAUGCAACCACCGUGGUAUAAUUCAAACGAGAUGUGAAUCUCAUGGUGGGUUCUUAGGCCAUUUUAGUUGGACAGAUGCAAGAGUUUCAAGAAUCGAGCUGAGUUUGUGAAAGAUGAUGUCAUCGAUCAUUUUGUCACCAGAACAUCAUCAGAAUAACAAGUGAUCGAAGUUGCUCGGCAAAACACAAAUAUGGCCAGAAAAGUUGAUCCAAGAAUGGUGCUGAAUUGUCCAUCAUUUUAUUGUGGAGUUGUCAUUCCGCAUUUUUGUUUUGGGGUCACAUCUCAUCCUUGAACGAAACAUGUAUUUUCUGUUUUUUUGUUGUUUUGAAAUCAAGAGAUGCUUCUUUCAAAGGGUAUUUUGACAAAAAUAUUUUGUUGAUCAAACUCCAACAUACAAAAUUAAAGCUAGUCAAUCCUGAAGAUUAAAAGUGUUUAGAUUGCGGAAAUGACUUGAUGCUUGAAAAUGACAUGAGGUGACCAAACAAUUUUGAACUCAUACCUCUUGAACCUGAGCCACACAUCAUGUAGCUAAAUUUUAAGUAUGCAUAAUGACAUGUAGUGGAUUCAGUAGUCAUGGACUCGUGAAUCAUGAUUCUUACAAGUCCAAAUCAUUACAUUGGAUGAGGUCAAAAUUUAUCGAUUCUAACCGACCUUGAAAUGAGAAAAGACCAUCUUUGUUAUCCUUUCACAUUUCUUGAAAUAUUAUCCCUUGCGGUCCCCAUUUGAGCUUGAUAGAAUACUUUUCAAGAAAACCCUGACUAGGAUCACACCCCGCACUGGGGGCAAAUAAGAGAAGACAAAAGUGAAAGAGAAGGCUUAGAACAAAAGUUCAACGUUUGAGAGUGAGUUAAAAGAAAGAAGACCUAGACUGGGGGCGUGUUAGAAAAUUAUGAGAAAUGCUAUGUGAAAGCCAUGACCUUUGGCAUCCAUGAUAAAGCUCCUGAAGUUAUCAGAUGAUUGAGAUUGGUUAUUCAUCAAAGAAAAAGUUGGAUUUGCUUAUAACCUAUGUUAAGAGAAUUCUGAUAUUUAAGGUUAAUAAGGUUAUAUGUCAUUUCCUCUACAAAGACAACAAUAGAAAAAGAGUUGAUGAAUAGUUUGAUGUUGAUCCUAGGUCUUUGAAACCCUCAAACACCUUUUGAGCCUGAAUUUUCCUUUCUUUCAUAAGCCAUGAACCAUAGCCUGCAUUACGUGCUCUUAAAAGCCCUUUUUGAUCAAGUAAGCAAUCUAAACCGAGAAAUGGCGCUCUCAAAACGUGAAGAGCCUUUACAUAAGAGUCGUGGCUUCACGGAUUAAGCUACUUGUUAUUAUGCAUGCUAAUAAAAUUGGUGCUAAAAAAGAAAACAAUCUUUCUUGAUGAAUCCUCAAGUUUUGACUUUGAGCCUUUUGUUUUCCUUGAAAUUAACAGAAGGUCACCUCAUUGCAUACCAUCAAAAGAUAUACCCGAAAUCAGAGUCUAAAAUGGAUACAAAGAACCAUGAAAAAAACCAUUUUAGUCUUACAACAUGUCAAUUUCUGUUUUCAAAAUACAUGACAAUCAAAGGACUGUAUAUUUCGAAUAACGUGUGUUGGAUCUUUGAAGAAAAAAAAAGCUUGAUUUUCAAAAGGUCUUUUCAAAAAAAGGACAUCUCUGAUUUCAUUUCAACAAACUAGACUUUGAAUAGACAUGAUCUUUGAAGUAUGAGAGUUGAUUCCAGAAUAGAAAGAUUGUCAAACAAGAAGAAUAUCGAUUGAGUUUGCAAAAUCCUUGACAAGAAUGACAUCAAAACUUCUUGACACUCCUUGAAAAGUUGACCACCUGGGGGCAGUACAGUGGACCCUGAAAGGGAAACAAGCAGUCUCCAACAUGGCUAUGACUUUUGAACGAUGUUAUCACAUAGUUGCAUUUGAAUGAAUGUUGGAAGGAUGCACACCACCAAGACUGACUGUGGGACCAUCUGCUUUGAAGCUCAAAUGCACACUUCACCGCAUGAAUAUGGGUGAUGAACAUCAUUGAUAAUGCCAAAUCAUUUCCUUUCAUGAUCUGAUUUGACAAGCUGAGAGGAAUCUAUGGAGAAGAACUUUGAGCUUACAAUGAUUAGCCUUUUACUGUAAAGUAUGAGAGGCAUGUCUGGAUGACUUGGCAGUUCCAAGAAGGCGGGUGAUAACAUAUACUUGAAGAGGAUUGUUUCAAUUGGAGGCAAGUUCAUGACUGGUUGACCAUCUUGAUGGGUGUUGGCAUGAUGCACACAACCAAUCAGAAGAUAAUUUUCAGAAGAAUCCAGGAGAGAAAAUCCUUCAUAAUGAAUCAAGCAACACCACACUUGGGGGCAGAGUCAAGCUUGAUAAACAACAAGAGCAGUAAUCGUCGUAGACAGCCCGAGAUGGGCACUGCACUUACAUUUGAGUGGAAGGCUAGCAUACGAAUGAGCCAGUACAUGGGAAGAGCAAAGAAGGCUUUGGUUAGCAAACAAAGGCACCCUAUGACGAUGGAUCAUCCAAGGGGAUAACCUACAUUUCACAUCAGGUAAGGAUGCAUGCAUGUCAUCUAACCUCAAAGCAUUGCACAUACUUGUGAUUUGUUACAGAAAGAUCCUCAAUGAAGUCCAGCAAGUUUGUGGACAAAGAAGGAAUCAUUGAGUUGAUGAUGACAAAGAAUCGGUUUAGAUCCUGGAACAAGAAGAGAAUGAGAUGAACCCUGCCAGUAGGAGAAUCUCAAAGAAACGAGGAGAUUAACCCCGUCAUUAAGGAGUCUUCAAGUCAACCUGCAACCAGAAGGUGCCAAGUUUCUCAGCCUUGUCCUGUCAGGACUGCUCCAACCAAGUCUUUUUGCCUGGUAAGUCACAUUCUAUCUUUGGGUAGGUCACCCAUAACAAUGAGACCAUUUUUUUUAAAAAAAAAACAUCAUUUUUCUGGGUAGGUCACCCAUCACAAUGAGACCACCAUCUUCCAUUUGGGUAGGUCACCCAUUAUAACGCGACCACUUCACAUUUUUUCUAUCUUCCACCUGGGUAGGUCACCCAUUAUAACGCGACCAUUUCAUAUUUUUUCUAUCUUCCAUCUGGGUAGGUCACCCAUUAUAAUAAGACUGCACUUCACAUUCUUUCCACCUGGGUAGGUCACCCAUAACAAUGAGACCACUUCACAUUUUUCUCAUCUUCCAUCUGGGUAGGUCACCCAUUAUAAUAAGACUGCACUUCACAUUCUUUCCAUUUGGGUAGGUCACCCAUCAUAAUGAGACCGUUUUUCACAUUAUUUCCACUUGGGUAGGUCACCCAUCAUAAUGAGACCAUCAUUCAUCUGGGUAGGUCACCCAUCAUAAUGAGACCAUCAUUUUCCACUUGGGUAGGUCACCCAUCAUAAUGAGACCAUCAUUCAUCUGGGUAGGUCACCCAUCAUAAUGAGACCAUCAUUUUCCACUUGGGUAGGUCACCCAUCACAAUGAGACCAUUUUUUCUGGGUAGGUCACCCAUUAGAAUGAGACAAUUCUCCAUCUUUUUUUACUUGGGUAGGUCACCCAUUAUAAUGAGGCCAUUCUUCCCACUUGGGUAGGUCACCCAUAAGAAUGAGACCACUCUUCCCCUUUUCCACUUGGGUAGGUCACCCAUCACAAUGAGACCAUUUUUUCUAGGUAGGUCACCCAUUAGAAUGAGACCAUUCUCCAUCUUUUUUUGCUUGGGUAGGUCACCCAUUAUAAUGAGGCCAUUCUUCCCACUUGGGUAGGUCACCCAUAAGAAUGAGACCACUCUUCCCCUUUUCCACUUGGGUAGGUCACCCAUCACAAUGAGACCAUUUUUUCUGGGUAGGUCACCCAUUAGAAUGAGACCAUUCUCCAUCUUUUUUUUACUUGGGUAGGUCACCCAUUAUAAUGAGGUCAUUCUUCCCCCUGGGUAGGUCACCCAUAAGAAUGAGACCACUCUUUCCCCUUUUCCACUUGGGUAGGUCACCCAUCACAAUGAGACCAUCUUGUAUUUGGGGUAGGUCACCCGUCAUAAUGAGACCAUCUUUCAUUUUGGGUAGGUCACCCGUCAUAAUAAGACUACACACACAUUUUUUAGUUUUGGUUUAAUGAGGUCGCCAGAUGGGAUCUCAUGUAGCUUUGGUUAAAGGAAAUCGCCAGAUGGGAUUUCAGGUUGACCGAGCUACACACAUUCUUUGGUUUUGAAAAAGGAGAUCGCCAAAUGGGAUCUCAAGUUAACGAAAGAAAGAAAGAAAGAAAGAAGAGGAAAGAAGGAAAAAAAAGAAAGAAACAUUUAGACAAGUUUUUCUUUACAAAACUUACUAUGCAAAACAUUGAGGAGUUUUGCUUCGUAAGCAUUGUAAAGAGGGGGCAUCUGUUGCUACCAAAUUUUUGAUCCAUGUUUUGAUAAAUUUUCAGAAAAAAACCAAAAAUAGCAAAAAAACAAUGAAAAUCCAAAAAAAUACAUUUUUGAUAUAUUUGCAUCGUUUUUAGCAUUUUCAACGUCAUCUCAAAAGAAUUUAAAUUUUCAAAGGUAUUUGGAACGCGUUCAACUUUUAACGCGUAAAUUUUAUGACCACUGAUUUUUCUUGUUGAGUUAACGUUGAUAUUGCUCGCUUUCAAAAAUACAAAAAAAUAAGAAAAAUCAAAAUUUACAAAAAAAGAGGAAAAGAGAAGGAAAGGAAAAGUUGAGGGACUAGUUUGAAAACCUAGCAAAACUUUUCCUAUAAAUACCAUGCUACACUGAAUUUACAAAGGGGGGGCAAUUUUGACAACUUCAAAAGAGGGGAAGAGCAACCCUAAACCUAUCUCAUCUUCUCCAAGCCGCCAGCCCUCCCCCAUUUUUUCUAGCCAACAACACAGGCCCCCCACGUUUUUGGUUUUCCUCUCCACGCCGUUCCCCCCAUUUUCUUCUCCUUGGCCAGCCAACAACACAAAACCCCAUUCAUUUUUCCAGCAGCUGCUCCCACUCCGUUUUCCUUCCUUCUCCCACAGCCCGGUCAUCAAUAGAUAGCCCUCAUUUCCAGUUUCUUUUCCCAAGCCAGAGCAGCCUCCUCUGCAUUCCCCAUCUCCCUUUCACUCGCCCCUCUCUUUGACAGAACAGGAUCCCCUCACUCUCUCAUUUCCAUCGCCAAGUCUCUCCUCCAUUCGGCCCCAGCAGCGGCUGAACAGCAGCAGUGCCGUCCCUCUCCAUCCCAGUUGUUCCCUUCCAUCGGCCUCCCUCCCCGGCCAUCUCACAGGUCUCCAUCAACCAGCCUCCAACGACAGCCGGACAACAGCAGCAAGGCCAACCAUUGCUGCCACCAACAGGAGUGAAGAGCAUCCAGCAGCAUCCACGACC
RNAcentral lists this long non-coding RNA (9034 nucleotides) under Populus trichocarpa (black cottonwood). RNAcentral's name for it is "long non-coding RNA (PTRI_LNC002398)". The record is from RNAcentral. Lineage: Eukaryota; Viridiplantae; Streptophyta; Magnoliopsida; Malpighiales; Salicaceae.